UGGGGCAAUUAUGGCAGGCAGUAUUGGGUGUGGCUUCUGGAGUGGGCGUGUUCCUGGUAGGAUUGACAGCUGUCUGUCUCUGCAGGAGGACCAGUGAGUACAUUUGAUUCUGCAAAACAAAUCAUUUGAAAAUUUACCGUGCUAACAUUAAUGUAAGUGCCUUUGGCAUGGGUUCAUUUAUCAACUCAUUUGAUCAUAUUGUAUAGGUUAGACUAUAUUCAAUGUAAUUAAUUUAGCCUCAUUUGUUUUUCAGAGAAAACCAAUUCUCAGAGGUAAGAAUUCCCUUGUGAAUUUGAUGCAGAUUGUAACAACCUUUAGUUCUGUAUUGUCCAUGAUGAGAUGUUCUUACCACAACCUUCUUAUAUACUUUUAUGUUGUACAGACCUACAGCCAGACAGGAUGAUCACAGACAAUGUAUGUUCCAAACAAAAUACAUCAAACAUACACACACAUACGACAUACAGAACUAUAUACACGCAUGUACAAACACUGUAAUUCAAUUUUCAUUGUGUUUCUGUUGUAGAUGAUUUGGUGUCUAUGGGAGCGGUGAGCAGCGGAGUCAUGGUGGAUUCAGGAGAUGCUGGAAUCGAUUCUCAGAUCACAUCUGUACUGCCCACGUUCAUGCCCUCAGGUCCCGUUGAUGUGAAUACACAGGCAUUUGCAAAUGAACAUUCUGAUACGUACCAUGUAUACAGCUCAAUCCCCGACAGACCAGCAUCCUCAGCCCAGCCUGAUGGGUUGUACAGCCUUCUGCAGACACACUGAAACUUCACCUCUGGCUUUCUGUAUCUAUGUCUCACACAUUCUUUCUCUUUCUCACACGACAUCCUUUAUUAUCACUCAUCCAGUUACUGUAAAUAAGUUGAUUAACAGGUUAUAUUUCUACUGUAUUACACAUGGACAACUGAUUUCUGUUACAUGUCUAUCCAUAAUACCUCUUACUGUGUUAAUAUUUAUAUUUUGAAGGGGUACGGGGCAUACUCCCCUUUGAGCAUUUUUCUUAUUUCUUCUCCCUAGUAAAUGCUAAAUCUACUGUAUUUAAGUAUAUUAUGUUGACUGUUUGAUACCUUCUUCCAUAACAGUUGGAUACAAUUAUUUUCCUAUUGGGCAAAACAUAAUCCAAAACACAACCAAAACAAACUGCAAAUGCAUACAAACUCAAGUUUGUUGAGUCACAAGCUUAAUGCAUUUAUUGGGUGCGAAAAAUUUAGGACCAAAAUACAUAAUGCUUGACUACUUUAAUACACUAUAAAUGAAUUUGUCCAAAUACUUAUGACUUCUUGAAUUGGGGGGACUAUUUACAUAAAGUGCUUUUAUAUCUAAAUGGUAAAACAUACAAUACCUUCAGAAAGUAUUCACACCGCUUGACUUUUUCCAAAUUUUGUUAUGUUACAGCCUGAAUUUAAAAUGUAUGAAAUUGAGAUUUUUUUUAAUGUCCCUGGCCUACACACAAUACCACAUAAUGUCAAAGUGGAAUUAUGUAAAAAAAAAAUGUCAAUAAGUAUUCAAUUACUUUGUUAUGGAAAUCCCAAAUAAAUUGAAUAAUACAUUGCAUGGACUCACUCUGUGUGCAAUAAUAAUGUUUAACAUGAUUUUUAUUGACUACCUCAUCUCUGUGCCCCACACAUACAAUUAUCUGUAAAGUCGGUCAGUCGCGUAGUGAAUUUCAAGAGAUUUAACCAAAAACAACAGGGUGGUUGUCUAAUGCCUCACAAAGAUGGAAACUAUUGGUUAAAAAAACAGACAUUGAAUAUCCCUUUGAGCAAGGUGAAGUUAUUAAUUACACAUUGGAUGGUGUAUCAAUAUACCCACUCACAACAAUAAUACUGCCAUCAUUCAUAACUUAGUUGCCGGAGAGGAAAAAACCCACUCAGAGAUUUCACCAUGAUGCCCAUGGUGACUUUAAAACAGUUACAGAGUUUAAUGGCUGUGAUAGGAGAAAAGUGAGGAUGGAUCAACAACAUUGUAGUUAAUCUACCAAACUAACCUAAAUGACGGAGUGAAAAGAAGGAAGCUUGUACCUGUUUGCAGCAAGGCACUAAAGUAAUACUGCAAAAACUGUGGCAAAGCAAUUAACUUUUUGUCCUGAAUACAAAAAGUUAUGUUUGGGGCAAAUAGGAUACAACACAUUACUGAGUACCAUUCUCCAUAUUUUCAUGCACAGUGGUGGCUGCGUCUUGUUAUGGGUAUAUUGUAAUCAUUAAGGGACUGGGGAGAUUUUCAGGAUAGAAAAUAAAUGUAAUGGAGCUAAACACAGGCAAAGUGCUAAAAGAAAACCUGGUCGAGUCUGCUUUCCACCAGACACUAGGAGAUGAAUUCACCUUUCGGCAGGAUAAUAACCUAAAACACAAGGCUAAAUAUACACUGGAGUUGCUUACCAAGCAUACAGUGAAUGUUCCUGAGUGGCAGAGUUACAGUUUUGACUUGAAUCUACUUCAAAAUCUAUGGCAAGACCUGAAAAUGGUUGUCUAGCAAUGAUCAACAACCAAUUGGACAGAGCUUGAAGAAAUUUGAAAAGAAUAAUGGGCAAAUGUUGCACAAUCCAGGUGUGGAAAGCUCUUAGAGACUUAGAGACGCAGAAAGACUCACAGCUGUAAUCGCUGCCAAAGGUGCUAAUACAAAGUAUUGACUCAGUGAUGUAAAGACUUAUCUAAAUGAAAUAUUUCUGUAUUUCAUUUUCAAAAAUGUAGCAAAAAAUUACAAAAAACAUGUUUUCACUUUGUCAUAAUGGGGUAUUGUGUGUAGAUUGGUGAGAUUGUUAAUUUAUUUAGUACAUUUUGAAUUCAGGCUGUAACACAACAUAAUGUGUGAUAAGUCAAGGGGUUUGAGUACUUUAUGAAAAUACCCUCAAAUAAAGGGGAAAUUCUGUACUGUCGCCUUAUAUAAAACAAUCUUAAAUGUAAAAUACUGGAGUAUAGAGCCAUAUAUAAUUUUUGGGCUUCACUGUCCAAAGGCAUAUGGAGGGGAGUGUAUGACCGAUAAAUGAUUCUGGUUGUUCAGAUACCCUUACUUCUGCAACAUUAGCUCACACUUGUUGUAUGAGACUGUUGUUUAGGUUUCUGCUCUCUGUGGUUUUGCUGUGCACAAGCUCCACAUGUACGUCUCUAUUCAAACAAUCCUCUGACUCAGUCAUACCUUACUGUGAAGUCAGACUAACAGUAUGUAGCUGUCUGACAAAUGGCAUUGUUCAUCCCUGAUAUGGCUGGUCAUCUGUUCUUGGUCAUCCUCCUUUUUGGUGAGUUAUUUCUACAUUUCUACAGUUUCAUCAUCUGUUUGUUCUACAGGAUAUUCCUCUUCUUCUCUCCCCUCUUUUAGUCUUUUACUUUUUACUCUUUUACUUUAGGAACUCUUGAUAUUUCUGAAUCUCAUGGCUACGAUGAGUGUCUUGUAUCUUAUUCCAUUAAUCAUCUUAUUUAUUUCGCUCUAUCAUUAUUUUACAAUUUGUUCAGAUAAGAUUGACCACUGCUUGAUCCCCAUUAAUGCAUUACAGUAGAUUACGCUACUUUACCAACUUGUGUGAAGUGUUCAGGUGUCUCCUGUUAAAAUAUACUUUUUGAAUGGCAGACGAUGAUAAUCUACUUUAUAAUUUCUAGAUACGUUCCAAUCCAUCAAAGCCCAAGGUCAGUAUCAUUAUUAUGAGUUUUUAGUUACCCAGUAAAAAUAUUAUAAUAAUCAUGGUAUGAGAUGUUUUUUCACAGUAGAGACUCACUAUCCAUCGAUGCACAGUCAUCCUGCGCCUAUCACUAUUCUUGGUAAAAUAGUAUUAUUAUUAUGAAUACACGGAUCUGAUUGGCUCACUGUAAUCAGAUUGGAAUAUGUAAUGUCAUGCUAACAUAUACAUACUAUUUAGUUCUUACUCUUUUCGUUAUCUGGUACAGAAAGAGGUGUGUAUUCUCAUUAACCUACAGUAUGGACAGUUAUUGAUGUGUUCUCCUCACAGGUAAACUGCAGAAACCAGACAUUAGUGUCAAUGACGAAUCUUCUCAUGACAUCACUAUUGCCUGUGUACUUCCUGAGUCUGUCAGUGAUGGUCAUAGCUGUAACCUGUACACUGGAGACCAGCCUCAGGCCUACAAAGAGGCUUGGGUGAGGAGAUUUAACGCAGCAUCAUCCAAACUAUUCUGUACCUUCAGUGUUACUAAGAAUGAUCUGUUCAGGCAUCUGCAGUUGGUGAGAGAUGUGAGCAGUUACUAUAGAGUGAACACAGGAUCACACUCUCUGUCUCCCCGCAGUGAUAAAUACAUAAUUACAGGUAAGAUACUUACAUAAACAAAUACAGAAGUAUGUAUUAUAUGUACAUUUUUUAAGUGUAGAAUGGUAUGGGCAAAAACAGGUUGAAUAAACGUUGUAGUAGUAAAUAGUUUUCCCUUCUGAUGACACUAAAUCAACGUGAAAAAUGUAUUGGAUUUGCCAAAAUCAUUUUGGGAAUGUUGGUCUUUUUUUCACCCAACUCGAACCUAAAUCCAUUAACAUGGCUGAAAUGUUGUUGAUUUCACUUUGAAUUCACAUUAGUUGACAACUCAAUCAAAUGUAAAUCAAAACUAGGUGUGGAACUGAUGUCUGUGUUCAUUGGGCAAAUGCUUAAUUUAUUGCUAACUUGUUUUGAACAAAUCAAUUCAUUUUAAUUCAUGUUUUUAAAUCACAGUCCAAGGUAAUUCAAAGUAGUUAUACAAAUCAUAAGUCCAUGUCAUGUUUAUCACCAUCAUGAUUUGACUUUGCAUAGUGAAAGACUGCAGGCUCUACAGUAUAUUGUUAUGUGCAGAAUAUUUCUUUGUUGAACUGGUUCAGCGUUUAGAUUGUAUCUAUGCGCUGUUGUGCUUCUCCUGUUAGAUUCAUGGUGACCUUAUUCUAGGAAGCUGAUAACAACAAUCAACACCUUAUCUGUCCUGAAAGACUUGAUCACCUUAUGAACUGGUCUUAUCAUCUCUAUAAUGAGGAGAAAUAUAAUCUACCAGGGCAGGAAGCAAUCUGUCCAUAGUGAAUUUAUAGUCCUACUUUUCCCACUUUGAAAAGACAAGUCAUGAAGGUAUUUCAAAAGGACAACAACACCUUGGUGAUCAUUAAUAAGAUCAUGAAUAAAAUACUAAUUUAAUUAAUAUGUGUUUUCUCAAUGGGUUUGACUCCAGGUCCUAGAUCUACUUUGCCUCCCAGCACGACAGUGAGUCCUACAGAAGGUGUGUUGGGCCUCUAAAUGACCAUCUCUGCAAAUAGUAAUUAUACAGUCAAUGGUUUAGAUUACAGGCCUGUAAAAUGAAGUGAACAACAUUUUAAUGUAACACCUUAUUCUUGUGUAAUCAUAUUGCUUCCCUCUAGUUUCGACUGUUACUUCUACUUCGACCCGAGACACCACAGUGAGACCAACUACCAGUAAGUAGAUCCACUCAUUUGAACUUACAUGUAUAUUUUUGAUUACAAUAAUUCAUUA
Oncorhynchus mykiss (rainbow trout) is the source of this 5425-nucleotide long non-coding RNA. The record is from Ensembl. Lineage: Eukaryota; Metazoa; Chordata; Actinopteri; Salmoniformes; Salmonidae.